Molecule: ribosomal RNA, 450 nt
Filed under: uncultured bacterium
Lineage: Bacteria
Description: bacterial SSU rRNA
Rfam family: Bacterial small subunit ribosomal RNA
Source: RNAcentral
GUGGGGAAUAUUGGACAAUGGGCGAAAGCCUGAUCCAGCCAUGCCGCGUGUGUGAAGAAGGUCUUCGGAUUGUAAAGCACUUUAAGUUGGGAGGAAGGGCAGUAAGUUAAUACCUUGCUGUUUUGACGUUACCGACAGAAUAAGCACCGGCUAACUUCGUGCCAGCAGCCGCGGUAAUACGAAGGGUGCAAGCGUUAAUCGGAAUUACUGGGCUUAAAGCGCGCGUAGGUGGUUUUGUAAGUUGGAGGUGAAAUCCCCGGGCUCAACCUGGGAACUGCCUCCAAAACUGCAUGACUAGAGUACGGUAGAGGGUAGUGGAAUUUCCUGUGUAGCGGUGAAAUGCGUAGAUAUAGGAAGGAACACCAGUGGCGAAGGCGACUACCUGGACUGAUACUGACACUGAGGUGCGAAAGCGUGGGGAGCAAACAGGAUUAGAUACCCCGGUAGUCC